Mus musculus (house mouse) is the source of this 1705-nucleotide long non-coding RNA. RefSeq annotates it as predicted gene, 54277. The record is from RefSeq and is a predicted model, not a curated record. The transcript has 2 exons. NCBI's taxonomy places the organism in Eukaryota, Metazoa, Chordata, Mammalia, Rodentia, Muridae.
CUCAGCUUGGACACAGACGCAGCAGUUCUCUACGGGCUGUCUGGCUUCGGCGUCCGCCAUCGAGAGACCCAUCCCGGCUUCCAUGAGUCCCGCAGCCCCCUGGUCCUGGUUCUCUCUUCUUCUUCCUUCUCCUUUCUCACGAGGGACCAAGCCCGAGGCAGACUGAGAGGCAUCAUCCCGGCUGUGAGUCCUGCUGCCUCCCCGGUCUGUCUGUCUGUCCCAGUUCUCCUUCUUCCAAACCGGACCUGGCCUGCCUGGCCUGCCUGGCCUUUACCGCGAAUGGGAAGCUUGGGUCUCGGCAUCUGUCUGUGCCCCUGGCUUCCUUCUUCCUUCCCACUGGGGACUGAGUCCAUGUUCAAGCUUCCCUGUGUCUCACUGCCCCUGGAUCUGUCUGUCUCUCUCCCAGAUUCCUUCUUUCCUUCCAACACAGCCUUCUCUGUCCCUCCCUGCCCUCACCUCCUUCCUUCUCUGUCUCAUGGGGACGAAUCUGGGACCUGAGUCCCCCCCGGGGUUCCAGGCGAGUGGUGUGGCUGCAUUGGUGGCGUCCCCGGUCUGGCAGCUCAGAUCCGUGCCCCCUGAUCCUGUUGUACCUGUGGGCCCCAGCAUCUGUCUGUCUGUCCAUCCAGUCCCUGUAUGCGUCAGGCAGUGAGGCAACCCACUCCUCCCCUUGAAUUAGAAACUGCAGUCUGCAAUUUCAUCUGGAAUAACAAAAACUCUUCUCAAGGAUAAAAGAACCUCUGGUGGAAUCACCAUGCCUGACCUAAAGCUGUACUACAGAGCAAUUGUGAUAAAAACUGCAUGGUACUGGUAUAGAGACAGACAGGUAGACCAAUGGAAUAGAAUUGAAGACCCAGAAAUGAACCCACACACCUAUGGUCACUUGAUCUUUGACAAGGGAGCUAAAACCAUCCAGUGGAAGAAAGACAGCAUUUUCUUUCUUUCUUUUUUUUUAAUUUUAGGCACAUACUAUAGAACUUUAUAAAAUUUUAUAUACUACUGAAAUGUAAAUAUUUCCAAGAAAAUGCAGGUGGUCCAUAAUGACUAAGUAUUUUGUUAAUUACAAUAAAUUUUUUAGGUAUUUAUUUCAUUUACAUUUCCAAUGCUAUCCCAAAAGUCUCCCAUACACUCACCCACCCACCCACUCCACUCCCAUUUCUUGGCCCUGUCCUUCCCCUGUACUGAGGCAGAUAAAGUUCGUACGACCAAUGGGCCUCUCUUUCCACUGAUGGCCGACUAGGCCAUUUUCUGAUUUAUAUGCAUCUAAAGAUUAUGUACAUAUAUCAUAUUUUUGAUCUGGGACAAGUAGUCCUCCCCAGGGAGGAGCCUCCUAAUUGGUUAUCAAAUGGUUAGCCCAGAAAGAAAACAUACAAAUAACAGUAUACAGAUUGGGAAAAUUACAUUUAGGAACAUAUACAUGUACAUAAAUCCAUGUAACACAAUGAAAAAGUUGGCUAUGUGUUUGAAAUAAAGCAAGGAGCAGUUUAUUACAGGGUUUGGGGAAGGGAAGGAGAAAUGUUAUAAUUGUAUUAUUAUCUCAAACAUAAAGGAAAUAAUAAAAAGUAUAAAAUAUUAAACAUAAUGGAAUGUAUAAAUAAGAAGUAAAAUUGUGAGGGAAGUUUGCAAAGAAGAGAAGAGAAGUACAAAUGAGAAUAAAAUUCCUUUGGUAAAUGUAAAAGAAAUAAUAGAACACACUAGAGUACACACA